This 702-nucleotide ribosomal RNA is filed under the name uncultured bacterium. RNAcentral's name for it is "bacterial SSU rRNA". It matches the Rfam family "Bacterial small subunit ribosomal RNA", at positions 1 to 1166 of the family's 1533-position model. The record is from RNAcentral.
CCCGGAAUACGCUAUGGACUGACGUACUGAGUCGCUUAACCUGGGAAUGGCAUUUGGGACUGCAAGGCUUGAGUGCACAACUUACUGUGACUACUGAUGAUGACGGCAGAGGAGACUGGAAUUCCCGGUGUAGCAGUGAAAUGCGUAGAUAUCGGGAGGAAUACCGAUGGCGAAGGCAGGUCUCUGGGCUGACACUGACGCUCAUGCACGAAAGCGUGGGGAGCAAACAGGAUUAGAUACCCUAACGAUACGAUAUGACUGACGUCAUCAUGGGUAGUCCACGCCCUAAACGAUGUCGACUGGUUGUUGGGGGUUUGACACUCUCAGUAACGAAGCUAACGCGUGAAGUCGACCGCCUGGGGAGUACGGCCGCAAGGUUAAAACUCAAAGGAAUUGACGGGGACCCGCACAAGCGGUGGAUUAUGUGGAUUAAUUCGAUGCAACGCUACAUGCUGAUCGUGACAACGCGAAAAACCUUACCUACAACACGACUCUACAGUCAGACAGUAUCCUUGACAUGUCCGAGAGCCCGCAGAGAUGCGGGUGUGCCCGAAAGGGAAUCGGAACACAGGUGCUGCAUGGCUGUCGUCAGCUCGUGUCGUGAGAUGUUGGGUUAAGUCCCGCAACGAGCGCAACCCUUGUCAUUAGUUGCUACAUUCACACCAUCAUUACUAGCUCAUCAGACUGACUGGGUUGCCAAGG